This is a long non-coding RNA of Octopus sinensis (East Asian common octopus), 562 nucleotides long. RefSeq lists it as uncharacterized. The record is from RefSeq and is a predicted model, not a curated record. NCBI's taxonomy places the organism in Eukaryota, Metazoa, Mollusca, Cephalopoda, Octopoda, Octopodidae. The transcript is spliced from 2 exons.
AUACAUACAUAUAUAUACAUACAUACAUAUAUAUAUACAUAUAUAUAUAUAUGUAUAUAUAUAUAUAUAUACACAGUCUUCAACUGUUUUCAUGGUUUCAGUUACAAGACUGUGGCCAUGCUGGGGCAUCGCUGUCAAGGAUUCACAGAUUUCAUCGAUUGCCACUUAUUUUACUGACCUCAGAACAAUCAAACAGGUCAUAAUCCAAAACAUAAAAAACACAAACAUAACAUAAGGGUUUUCCUUUUUCUUUCCUCUUCAGGUGUGUUUUUGCUGUGUCCUGCACUCUACCAAGUCUGCUGUCCACUGACUACAAUGGCAGUUUAUAAUUUGUUCCUCAACGCUUCCACCAUCACUACCAUCACCACUGUUCUCUUACUUACUUCCAUCUAUACUCCCCCCCCCAAUCUUGUACCUCAAAAGAUCACACACACACACACACACACACAUACUCAUGCCUCUUGACACCUCACACCCAAGCUCAGUGGGAUGAAGUGGGAAGAGAGAGAAAGAAAGAGAGAGAGAGUAGCAAAGGUAUGUCCAGCUCAUCUACACUUGACAC